Molecule: ribosomal RNA, 230 nt
Filed under: uncultured bacterium
Lineage: Bacteria
Description: partial 16S ribosomal RNA
Rfam family: Bacterial small subunit ribosomal RNA
Source: RNAcentral
UAGUUGCUUCGGAAGGGCACUCUAAGGAGACUGCCGGUGACAAACCGGAGGAAGGUGGGGAUGACGUCAAGUCCUCAUGGCCCUUAUGGGUAGGGCUACACACGUCAUACAAUGGCCGGUACAAAGGGUUGCCAACCCGCGAGGGGGAGCCAAUCCCAUAAAACCGGUCGUAGUCCGGAUUGCAGUCUGCAACUCGACUGCAUGAAGUCGGAAUCGCUAGUAAUCGCGAU